This 201-nucleotide long non-coding RNA is filed under the name Bos taurus (domestic cattle). RNAcentral's name for it is "long non-coding RNA NONBTAT000800". Lineage: Eukaryota; Metazoa; Chordata; Mammalia; Artiodactyla; Bovidae. The record is from RNAcentral.
AGAAAUUGAGAGUGUGCUGCAUACAUUGAUCUGAUGUGGCACCUCAGUGAAUCUCAUGGCAAGACCUGGAACAUCUGGCCAAUAGGGGUGUAGGGAUUUAGGUGAUUGGUGUACUCUGAGCCAGGUCCAAUGUGUUACUGCUAUCUAGCUAUUUACAUUCAUUUUGAUCCUUCAGAAAUGUGAAUUUUGCAUUUUGGCCAA